GAGUCCAACACUCUUAUAUCAAAUGAACCUCAGUUCCUGACCAUUGAUUAAUUAACAUCGACGGCAGGAUGGAAGCUUGAUUAAACGGGAUCGUUUUGUUCUAGAGGCAGGCCGAGUGGGAGGGGAAUUUGGGCCUGGGAUGGGUCUGAAAUGGGUUAAGGGCUUUGGGCUAAGGGUAUUUAAUUAUAAACAUCCCACUUUAG
Molecule: long non-coding RNA, 203 nt
Filed under: Nicotiana benthamiana
Lineage: Eukaryota; Viridiplantae; Streptophyta; Magnoliopsida; Solanales; Solanaceae
Description: long non-coding RNA (NBEN_LNC035983)
Source: RNAcentral